This 253-nucleotide ribosomal RNA is filed under the name uncultured bacterium. RNAcentral describes it as "partial 16S ribosomal RNA". It matches the Rfam family "Bacterial small subunit ribosomal RNA", at positions 524 to 776 of the family's 1533-position model. The record is from RNAcentral.
UACAGAGGGUGCAAGCGUUAAUCGGAAUUACUGGGCGUAAAGCGUGCGUAGUCGGUUAUCUAAGUCGGGUGUGAAAUCCCCGGGCUCAACCUGGGAACUGCAGUCGAGACUGUCUAGCUAGAGUAUGGGAGAGGGAAGUGGAAUUUCAGGUGUAGCGGUGAAAUGCGUAGAUAUCUGAAGGAACAUCAGUGGCGAAAGCGACUUCCUGGACCAAUACUGACGCUCAUGUGCGAAAGCGUGGGGAGCAAACAGG